This 336-nucleotide unclassified non-coding RNA is filed under the name soil metagenome. RNAcentral describes it as "partial contains 5.8S ribosomal RNA, internal transcribed spacer 2, and large subunit ribosomal RNA". The stretch from base 1 to 120 matches the Rfam family "5.8S ribosomal RNA", at positions 35 to 154 of the family's 154-position model. The record is from RNAcentral.
GAUGAAGAACGCAGCGAAAUGCGAUAAGUAAUGUGAAUUGCAGAAUUCAGUGAAUCAUCGAAUCUUUGAACGCACAUUGCGCCCACCAGUAUUCUGGCGGGCAUGCCUGUUCGAGCGUCAUUUCAACCAUCAAGCCCCCGGCUUGUGUUGGGGACCUGCGGCUGCCGCGGGCCCUGAAAAGCAGUGGCGGGCUCGCUGUCACACCGAGCGUAGUAGCAUACAUCUCGCUCUGGGCGUGCUGCGGGUUCCGGCCGUUAAACCACCUUCAUAACCCAAGGUUGACCUCGGAUCAGGUAGGAAGACCCGCUGAACUUAAGCAUAUCAAUAAGCGGAGGA